CGAUGCCCAACUUCCAGCAUCUAUCUACCUCGAGGGUACCCAUUUUUUGUGGGCUCAAGUUAUAGGUUGGGUCCCUAAAUGGAAGUUCAUGGCAAGCCCAAGCCAACCAAGGCCUGGUACCACAACUUACUAUUUAAAACUUCUAUUUGGGAUAAUAAAAUAAGCCAGCUAUGUCUUCCUUAGUUUGUGUUUUAAUAAUAAACGGUUAAUAAUUACAGACCUUCUGAUGCAUACUA
RNAcentral lists this long non-coding RNA (236 nucleotides) under Elaeis guineensis (African oil palm). RNAcentral describes it as "long non-coding RNA (EGUI_LNC026618)". Lineage: Eukaryota; Viridiplantae; Streptophyta; Magnoliopsida; Arecales; Arecaceae. The record is from RNAcentral.